RNAcentral lists this long non-coding RNA (1221 nucleotides) under Nicotiana benthamiana. Its description in RNAcentral is "long non-coding RNA (NBEN_LNC008301)". Lineage: Eukaryota; Viridiplantae; Streptophyta; Magnoliopsida; Solanales; Solanaceae. The record is from RNAcentral.
UUGCAAGCAUCCACCUGGAAUGGAAAGAGGCACUUCAAAUUCUUCAAUGUAUGGGCUGAACACAGAGAUUUCCAACACAUUAUGGCAAUAGUAUGACAGAAGGGGAAGACUGAUACAAUGAGAACAUAUGGGACAGACUUAAAGCUCUGAAGACUCCUUUGAAGACACUCAAUAACAAGGAAUUCAAAACAGUUACAUUUAGAAUUGAGCAGUGUCGACAGGAACUGGGAAUCAUACAAAAACAAUUGAGUCAAGCCUACAAUGAUGCAUUACAACAGAAGGAGAAGGAACUGAUAUUGCAACUGGAAAAAUGGUCUUUGAUUGAGGAGAGUGUCCUGCAACAGAAGGCAAGAGCAAAGUGGAUACAACUGGGGGACUCCAACACAAAAUAUUUUACUGCAGUAAUGAAGGAUAGAAGUCAGCAGAAGCAGAUCCAUUAAAUUACCAAUGCACAGGGCAUCAGGCUGACUACAUUAACAGAAAUUAAGGAGGAAAUUCUGUGCUUCUACAAAGCACUAAUGGGCACCGCUGCACCAACACUACCUGCUAUCAAUCAACUGUACAUGUCUAAUAGCCCAAAACUGAACCAACAGCAAAGACAGGAACUGUGUGCUCCAGUUAUUGAAACAGAAAUAACAGAAAGUCUCAAAGCUAUUGGAGAUGACAAAGCACCAGGAAUAGAUGGAUACAAUGCAGUCUUCUUCAAAAAGAGCUGGAGCAUCAUUGGUCACCAANCAGUCUCAAAGCUAUUGGAGAUGACAAAGCACCAGGAAUAGAUGGAUACAAUGCAGUCUUCUUCAAAAAGAGCUGGAACAUCAUUGGUCACCAAGUCACUAAUGCCAUUAAGCAGUUCUUCAACUCAGCAAAGAUGUGCUGACCAAUCAACUGUGCAACCAUUACUCUCAUCCCUAAAAUGUCCAAACCAGCUUCAAUCAAAGAGUAUAGACCUAUAGCCUGUUGUACUGUUAUCUACAAACUCAUUUCCAAAAUACUGGCUAAUAGGUUGCAAAAGUUGAUGGCAAGCCUCAUCAAUGAAGCCCAGGCAGGCUUCAUUCCAGGUAGGAAAAUUCAAGACAACAUCAUCCUAGCCCAUGAGCUUGUCAAAAGCUAUACUAGGAAGCAUAUCUCCCCCAGAUGCAUGAUUAAGAUAGACCUCCAGAAAGCAUAUGAUUCAGUGGAAUGGGUGUUUUUACAGCAAUUCAUGGAAUAGAUAGGAUUCCC